This 421-nucleotide ribosomal RNA is filed under the name uncultured eukaryote. RNAcentral describes it as "SSU rRNA". It matches the Rfam family "Eukaryotic small subunit ribosomal RNA", at positions 592 to 1018 of the family's 1831-position model. The record is from RNAcentral.
CAAUAGCGUAUAUUAAAGUUGUUGCGGUUAAAAAGCUCGUAGUUGGAUUUCUGCCGAGGACGACCGGUCCGCCCUCUGGGUGAGCAUCUGGCUCGGCCUGGGCAUCUUCUUGGAGAACGUAUCUGCACUUGACUGUGUGGUGCGGUAUUCAGGACUUUUACUUUGAGGAAAUUAGAGUGUUUCAAGCAGGCACACGCCUUGAAUACAUUAGCAUGGAAUAAUAAGAUAGGACUUUGGUACUAUUUUGUUGGUUUGAGAACCAAGGUAAUGAUCAAUAGGGACAGUUGGGGGUAUUCGUAUUCAGUUGUCAGAGGUGAAAUUCUUAGAUUUCCGGAAGACGAACUACUGCGAAAGCAUUUACCAAGGAUGUUUUCAUUAAUCAAGAACGAAAGUAUGGGGAUCGAAGAUGAUCAGAUACCGU